RNAcentral lists this transfer RNA (75 nucleotides) under Metschnikowia arizonensis. RNAcentral describes it as "tRNA-Thr". It matches the Rfam family "tRNA". Rfam says of the family: Transfer RNA (tRNA) molecules are approximately 80 nucleotides in length. Their secondary structure includes four short double-helical elements and three loops (D, anti-codon, and T loops). Lineage: Eukaryota; Fungi; Ascomycota; Pichiomycetes; Serinales; Metschnikowiaceae. The record is from RNAcentral.
AUGACUAUGGUGAAAUAGGUAAACACAUUUAGUUUAGGUCUAAAAAUUUAAGGGUUCAAUUCCCUUUAGUCAUAU